Long non-coding RNA from Anguilla rostrata (American eel), 3253 nucleotides. RefSeq lists it as uncharacterized. The record is from RefSeq and is a predicted model, not a curated record. The transcript has 2 exons. Lineage: Eukaryota; Metazoa; Chordata; Actinopteri; Anguilliformes; Anguillidae.
AGACCGCGCUGUCUGCCGGACCGGAACCGGUCGGCUCGGACCACCUGUGCGUUUGCUGCUUUGUGGGCGCUGUACUGACUGCGGUGCGCUUGACUGGACCCGGUCAGCGCUGACCGCCUACGUUUUGACUGUAAUGUAUUGCAGACUGUAUUGCUUUCUGACUGCUGUGACCUCCGUGCGCCCAACUGGACCUGUUUGCCUCCGGGGCAACCGCACGGUUCUGGGUGUUGACACGGAGCGGUGCUACGUGACUAGCGGGUACGCUGGACUGGACUGUGUGUCAGCAUAGAUCAGCACACUAAACCCGGCUGCUCAGUUCUGCUGUGCUACCUCAGACCGCUGCCUAUUUUAUAACACACACACACACAUACACACACACACACACGCACACACACACAAACACACACAAACACAGGCGCACAUGCCCGCACAGACGCAAGGCACUGUUCCUGACCUAUAAACACACAGCACUGGAACACACCUAAAGUCUAACACGGGUUACUGUACUGUCAGGCAGGUGUUGCAGUCUAAUGUACAGCGCUACACUGGGUCACAUGCUGGUGUGCUUGUACUAUACUUCCUACUGUAAGCCACAAUACUGUAGCCAGAGGGCUGUGUUUCUACUGGCCCGCCAGUUUCCAGCGGUCAAUCAGCACUUAGCAGUUAGAAAUGGCCAGUGUGAUGUUUGCAGCAUACCGUGGUACAUGUGUGUGGAGUGCAGUGUGCAGUUGUCAGAGUGCACUGUGUAAUGGUCAAUGUGCAGUAGUCUGUGUGCAGUGUGCAGUGGUCUAAGUGCAAUGUGUUGUGGUCUUAUUGCAGUGUACAGUGGUCUCUGUGCAGUAGUCUAAAUCCAGUGUGACAGUGUCUGUCUGCAGUGGUCUCAGCGCAUUGCGCAGUGGUCUGUGUGCAGUGAUCUGUGUGCAGUAUGCAGUGGUCUGAAUGCAGUGUGCAGUGGUCUUAUUGCAAUGUGUUGUGGUCUUAGUGCAGUGUACAGUGGUCUCAGUGCAGUGUGCAGUGGUCUUAGUGCAGUGUGCAGUUUUCUGAGAGCAGUGUGCAGUGGUCUGUGUGCAGUGUGCAGUGGUCUGAAUGCAGUGUGCAGUGGUCUUAGUGCAGUGUGUUGUGGUCUUAGUGCAGUGCGCAAAAGUCUCAGUUCAGUGUGCAGUUGUCUAAAUGCAGUGUGCAGUUGUCUGUGUGCAGUGGCCUCAGUGCAGUGUUCAGUUGUCUAAAUGCAAUGUGCAGUUGUCUGUGUGCAGUAUGCAGUGGUCUUAGUGCAGUGUGCUGUGGUCAGUGUGCAGUGGUCUCAGUGCAGUGUGCAGUGGUCUCAGUGCAGUGUGCAGUUGUCUGUGUGCAGUAUGCAGUGGUCUUAGUGCAGUGUGCAGUGGUCUCAGUGCAGUAUGUUGUAGGGCUGUUCCAGAAUUCAGUACUACCGGUUGCCGUGGUAAUGAAUUGUCACUGGGGUGAUGACAGAAUUACCAGGGUAAUAUGGUGAUUAUUUGUUUUCCCUCAUUAUGCUGAUUGAAGUGAGGGCACAAUGCCCACAUGCACUGGCCAGAUGCAUUAGAGGAUGAACCGAGUGGGCUGCACACAAACCUACUGUACACUCCCUCCUCACGCGUCUCUUUAAAGCUGAACUGCUGGUAGUCAUCGCAGGGCCACACAGUGCACCAGAGCGAAUGGGGAGAGAGUCCUGGGUUUAGGACUGGAAAGUUAUUUAAUCACUAAAACUAUUGAAUGAAUGUUUUGGUGGGAACAAUUUCUUAUGGUGCAUGCAACCUCAGACUGCUGUACUCAAUAAUUACCAUCAUUAUACCGUGUGAAAAUUAAUACUUAAGUUUAUAAUUGUACAUAAAUGCGAUACAAAUAUUGUUUUUGUCUGUAUAUUCUCUGGAGGCAACGUCACUGUACGCGGCGCUUUGUAGGUUCAAGUGCAUUUUCACAAACUCACAAAAGCUCCUUUACCAGCCUUUAUGAAGCCGUUUGUGUAAGUAUCUGAAAUAUCCUUCAUCUCACACAGCACUAUCUGGCCCAAUCAAAAUCAUGCAUUACAAUUUAAAUAGCAUCAAUGAAAAUAAAACCCACCAAAAAGCAAACUAUCUGUUUAAGGGUCCACUGUGUUAAGGAUUAAGUAUGUUAAGGGUUCAUUAUGCCAAGAGUCCUCUGCUUUAAAGAUUUAGUGUUUUAAGGAUUUUGAUAAUUAAGGUUUCAGUGUUUUAGGGGUUAAGUGUAUUUAGGGUUCAGUGUGUUAAGGAUUCACCACGUUAAACGCUCAGUGUGUUAAAGAUUCAGCAUGUUAAGGGUUCACUGUGUUCAGUGUUCAGUCUUUUAUGAGGUUGGAGCAUUAAGAGUUCAAUGUUUUAAGGGUUCAGAGCUUUAAUGGUUCUGUGUGUUAAGGGUUUAGUGUGUUAAGGAUUCAUGCAUUAAGUGUUCAGUGUGUUUAGGGUUCAGUGCAUUGAGUGUUCAGUGUGUUUAGGGUUCAGUGUUAUAUGUGUUCAGUGUGUUUAGGGUUCAGUGUGUUAAGGGUUUGGCUUGUUGAGGGUUCUGUGCAUAAGAGCUCUGUUGCUGUGGGGUUCAGAGCUCAUAACCAGAUGGCGGCUUAAAGAGCUUAAAGAGACUGGGGUGCAGAAGCUGUGUCUGAGCCAGAGGGACAAGCCCUGACAGAAUGCCUCUGUGUGUCUGACUCCGCCCACAACACCCACUCCUGUGUGUUCCUGCACCUCUGACUCCACCCACUGUGGGACAGCACCUGCUAACACCCACUCCUGUAUGUCCCUUUAUUUCUGGAAUGCAGCCAGGGUGCUGUCUGGAUGUUUAGCUUUCCUGCGCUAAAGGUCUUAAGGUUGUUUUUGCUUCUCAGGUUACCUGUGAAAAAUACGGCAUAAUACAAAGGUCAGCUCAAUGUCAACAGCAUGGACAUUCUGAGUUAAUGCCAAUAAUUCAGUCAACGAAGUGACUGAAAAUGUGUGUCUAAGUGAUCAUGUCACUCUGACCAAAUGAGCCUCAUCUCAUCUUCCUUUCCUGGUGGGAGGAGCUUUGGUAAACACUUACAGACUCUCAGAGAAAAACUACAUCUGUGUGCCGGUCAGUCAACCCGUCUGAUUGGUUGGAAAGUCAUUCAUUAAACACGGUACUCAGUGCGUAUGCGGUCCUCAGUCUCGAAGAGCUCCAGGCUCUGCUGGUUCUCAGUGUUACUCCGGACUUCAGAUCAAUUAAAUGUGUCGAUUAAAGCAGUUGGUUACACAGGUAACUCCCCGCG